AGGUAUUCCACUGAUUGCAUUGGGAAAUAUAUGUUAGACAAAUGCAAAAUGAAUGUCUUUUACUUUAUUUGAAGUGCAAACAACUAGGCCAGUUACCAUUAUUUAGGAUAAAUGUAUAUUAUAUAGAAUUUAUUUUUUGAACAUUUUUUACAUUCUUGAAUAAUUUAGUGCAUCCUGGGUCAAAUAUUUAAAGACACUCUAUAACAGAGACGGCCCACUUCUAGUCCUAAUUAAGAAACUACCACCUUCUAAAAUAGAGCCAAAUUAACGUUUUGAUGACCUUGGCUGAAUCCAAAAUCGCAAACUUUCCAACAAUUUAGUAGGUGAAAAACAGUAUUUGCCAAGAAUGUAUGUCUGACUUCACAGUAUUCAUUAAAGAUGGGCAAAAAAUCCAGGGUCAACUACUAUUUCUGAUGUAGUAGGUCCAGUGUUGUUUUGGUCCCUUCUGACCUUUGAUCUCCAAAUGUCUUAUUUUGUGUUCCAUGGAACAAAAAUAAGUCACACAGAUUUGGGGGAACCCUUUAAAAUAAACUGUGGCACAAUGCAUACUAUUCUUUCCCCUCUCUCUUUUUUGCAUAUGGGUUAAAUCUACACGACUACUUUAAAAGUGAGUUCGGAAACACGGUUAACGUGUGUCGAUUUAUGCGUUGAGGGAGAGAACAGAGUCAUCUCUGUUAAAGUACAUCAGGGGCAUUGCGAUCUCUCUCCUGCUGUCCAUAAAGCCUACCGCUCAGAUUGUAAAAUGGCCUUUCACAAGAUGACACAGGAAGCACUCCCUAGCUGAGGCUCAGCCGUUCCCCACCGACCACAAAUCACUGCGCACCAUUCAGCUAAGCUGACAAACCCUCUCUGGGUCAGAACUGGUAGAGUAACAGCUGGUUUUGAAUUUAAAGGUGCAGUAAUAUAUUCACAGAUUUUAUGGAUGGUUGAAGAUCAGUGAUUUGUUGAAAUGCAAUUGUCUACUGUCUUCGCUGGUGGUCACGGGCUAACAGGUCAGUGUGGUCUCAGAGGAAGAGCACCGCUGACAGUCAAAUCCAGUGUGCAGGUCUGCUUCAGUUCAUGUGUCUCACUCUGUCAGGACUUCACAUGCUAAUCAAAAACAUGUUCAAUUUCAGUCUGUUCAUGGCCUGAGGAAACAUGUUGUAGGACCACGGCAUGAAAGGCCUUUUCUUGUGCCUUUUUUACCAUCGUCUGUGGAAGGCUGCAAACCUUGUUAUUGGUUCCUAAGUGGUCUUUUGACUUUUUGAACUUAGAUAAGAUGCUGUUGGUGAAAACAUUUAAUUAGUUCUAGAUUUUUAUUUAUAGUUUUCCAUUUUUAGAUAUUUUAAGGAAGCCUAUUCUUAAUUUUGCUUUGCUAAUAUGUUUAAAAUAUAUUUAAUUUAUAGAAUAUAUAGAAUAUACUCCCCCCAUGCUCAAGUACACCAGUCGUCUUGAUCAAUUAUGGUCAUUAUGAUCACUCAUCUGCAAUUUUGUUUUUGUUUAUAUUUUAAAUAAACGCUGACUCGUGAUUUGUUGUUCAUACACUCAUUCAAAAAGGCAUUAGCUGGUCGCCAGCUACUGGUGUAGUGAUGUAACCUACAUGAAGAUUAUUUUUAGUGAACUUGUUCAAAAGAUUCAUAUCGACUGGAUGAACCAAAAUAAUGGUAAUGGACACAGUAUUCGACUCCCUCGUGUGGCGAAUCAGUUUUUGAUUCAGACUACAAGGCUAUCUGAUCACGGUGCAGCAUGAAAGCUAGCAGUUAAAACGGAUUUUGUAUGGCUCGAGACUGAAGAAAACAUGACAACAUCACCGGAACACAGGAAAUACCAUCUUAUUAUCCAGGUUUUUGAGCUAUAUGUCCACACAUGACCUCUCGUAUAAAGGCCAGUGCUGUGAAGAUAAGUUGGGACCUGAUCCAAGGCGUCUGAGAACCAGGCAUUCCCACUUCUGAUCGGACUGAUGCUUUUCAGUGCGCGAGGAGCUUCGAACCUGGCAGGCUCAGUAUAUGCGGUGGGCUAUUGGACGUUGGAAAUACCCAAACCCAACUGGGCCCCUUAUCAUGUACAGCACACAAAUUACGCAAAGCAGCAUCCAUCUGCCGCACAAAUAGAGCUCCAACCCGAACCGGCGCUCUGCCAUUGUUCUGGCCGUUCGCCGCCCCUCCCGGGGUAAUUCAUGUGCCCCGCUACUCUGCUCACCCGUCACUGGCUAUUCACUUAAACCUGAAACAUUUCCAUGCGCACAAAGGCUUCAAACAUGGCCGUGACAAAGGAAAGGAUUUCUGCGUUCCUAUUCUUUUCCUCCUCUCUGUCUUUCUCCUUUCUUCAAGACAUUGUGUUGUUUAAUUGGUUGUGCUUGGUAAUUUUGUCUCUUGUCUUCUCCCAUACUGAGUGAUUGUGCGGGGACGGACGUUUGCUUUGACUGGAUCGGACAGGAGCGGGCUCCCUCCCGUAUGCUGGGAGCCGUCUACCUUUGUUAGGUACGCGGAGUUCGGUUCGGGCUCUGUGUGUGGUAAGGUUUGGGAAUCCUGCACGGAUGUCGUGGGAAUGCCGAGGAAACGUCCCUCCUCAUGCCGCUGAAUGACUGAGAUGACCCCUCCGUGACGUGCUCAAUGAAUUCAUAUCUCCGGUCUUGCUGUGCAGGGCUGCUGGCUGAAAGAGCAUCAAGGUUAACAGUCUAUGGAGAGAGUGGAAAAGCAGAAGAGGAUGAAGGAGAGUAAGGGAAAACGACGGUGGCUUUGUCUGUACACAAGAGAAGGUGUGUGUAUGUGUGCUUCAGUGCAUGUGUGUGCAUUUGAGACAGAGAGGGAGGGAAAAAAAUAGGUUCAGUGGGUUUAUUACCUGGAGUCAGACAUAAGCUCAUCUCAGCCAAUCCUGUAGCGCCUCUUUAUUGUACAGCUCUGAGGUUGUGUAAUACACUUUUCAGCCAGAGCUGGGAUUCUUUGUUCACUGCACCUGGGAUUCUGCAGGCUUUGUUCUACACAUUUAAUAUAUGUUUUACAACUUAUAAAACCCCCCAAAACCCCUAUUUUCCAUCCUUAUU
Molecule: long non-coding RNA, 3022 nt
Organism: Puntigrus tetrazona (Sumatra barb)
Lineage: Eukaryota; Metazoa; Chordata; Actinopteri; Cypriniformes; Cyprinidae
Exons: 5
Source: RefSeq, a predicted model, not a curated record